Molecule: long non-coding RNA, 1109 nt
Filed under: Equus asinus (donkey)
Lineage: Eukaryota; Metazoa; Chordata; Mammalia; Perissodactyla; Equidae
Description: lncRNA (ENSEASG00005024958.1)
Source: RNAcentral
AAACAUGGCAGCCUAAUAGCGUAUGGGUUCGAAUUAACACCGAUAGGAGAGCUUCGGCUUGUGAAAUUACUUUUUCCAGGUUUUCAACUUCCUAAUGCACUGCUGGUUGAAAUAAAGCGAAAAUGCUUUCGUAUUGCAUCACUUAGGGCUUCCCUUAAAACCGAGGAGCGUGGAGGAACGCCAACCAAACUUUUCCAGAGUGGUGCAGCGUUUUCCAAAUGUAUUUCUGAGCAGAACUGUUGUUGGUAACCGAACGGUGCUUUAGGUUGCGCGUCAGCUUUGCGGGCUGCGCAGAUGCCUUUUUAAUUCUUUAAAAUUUCUGCUUGACAUUCCCCCAGGGUUUUUAUCUAAGUGAGGAUCCGAAAAGUGAUGCAACCUAGAAGACCAGGUUGAUGGCAGCUCCUCCACUCUGUGUCCUUUCUCUGUACUACCGUAAGUUAGGAAAGAAUGUGGUCGCCUGGGUUCUUUAAUGUGAUUUAUGGACUCUUGUAAGAAUGGCAUCACCUUGUGGUUGACAAACCUGCAUUUGCCUCUGAAUCACCUGGGAAGACAGGUCCACACAACCCCAGGCAACACUCCAGACUCCGCAUCAAGGAAGAAGGCAAUAGAAAACGAAUACAUCUCCUUAAAAUCACGCCACUGGCAGGCUGGAAGGCUGAGGGUUGCCCCUGGGGCAGUGGACGGAGACUCAGAACUUCCUGCCCUGGAGAAGCAGCCCUGGAGGACCAGGCAGGCAGGUGAUGGAGGUGGAACACUGCCAGUGGGCUGGAAACUCUCCCCAAAGCUUCAGGUGAAACCAGAAGCAGGCUGGGCAUUGAUGGUGUCGACAGCCUCUGCCACAGGGCCCAGCUGUAAGCAGUCAAGCCAGGAUUGGAACGGGGUUAAGUGUGGAGCCCACGUGCCUAGCCUAGGACUUCCCUGUGGCAUUUGAGGCCGUGACAUAGGAGGCUCAAGGGCUAUUUCUACUAGACAGUGCUAUUCCGGAGGACUCCCCCAUCCCCAGAGACCCAGACACAGACAUUCACCACUUAGCCCAAAGUGGUUAAUGCCGUCGGAUUGGUAUUUAUCAAGGGCCAACCUGAUCGUGUUCUUUGCCUGCUUGAAACCCC